This 1020-nucleotide long non-coding RNA is filed under the name Homo sapiens (human). RNAcentral describes it as "HSALNT0280485". The record is from RNAcentral. Lineage: Eukaryota; Metazoa; Chordata; Mammalia; Primates; Hominidae.
CUCUGGAGGCUGAGGCAGGAGAAUUGCUUCAACCCGGGAGGCGGAGGUUGCAGUGAGCCGAGUUCAUGCCACUGCACUCCAGCCUGGGCGACAGAGCAAGACUCCAUCUCAAAAAAAAAAACAAAAAACAAAAAAGAAAAUCACUGAGGAGAAAGGAUAUCUGCGUGAAUAGGACGCCCAGCUACUUUUUGUAUUUUUAGCAGAGACAGGGUUUCACCAUGUUGGCCAGGCUGCCCUCGAAGUCCCGACCUCGUGAUCCACCCGCCUUGGCCUCCCAAAGUGCUAGGACUCCAGGCGUGAGCCACUGCGCCUGGCCUGAACAGGUUUUUAAUGCAGAUGAAAGUAUCCUAUUCUAGAAAAACACCACAAAGGACAUUUAGUAGGAAGAGAAGCAAGCAGCAGGAUUGAAAACAAAAAGAGACAGGCUAACUCUACUGUUUCAUGAAAACGUAGUGGGGUUUAUGAUCAGAACUGCCCUUAUCUAUAAAGCUGCUAACCCCCACCCCCAAUCCUUGAAGGGAAAAGAUCAGCACCAGCUGCCUGUCUUUUGGUUGUACAACUAGAAGGCCUGGACAAUGGAAAUCCUUUUUUCUGAAUUGGUUCCACUGAUGCUUUGUCCCUGAAGUCAGGAAGUACCUUGCCAAUAAGGAACUGGAUUUUAAAAUUAUUUUAAUAUUGGACAAUGCCCCUGGCCACCCAGAACCCCAUGAGUUCAACACUGAAGGUGUCAAAGUGGUCUACUUGCCCCCAAACACAAUGUUUCUAAUUCAGCCUCUAGACCAGGGGGUCGUAAGAACCUCUAAAGCUCAUUACACGUGGUACUCUACGGAAAGGAUUGUCAAUGCUAUGGGAGAGAACCCUAAUACAGAGAGUAUCAAGAAAGUGUGUAAAGAUUAUACCAUUGAAGAUGCUAUUGUUGUUAUAGAAAAAGCCAUGAAAAUCAUCAAGCCCAAAACAAAGUCCUGCUGGAGAAAAAAAUGUGUCCAGAUAUUGUGCAUGGCAUCAUUGGACUUAAGACAG